AUCUAACAUCUGGUCUAUUUUUAGAUUUCACAGAGGAAUCUGCUUAAUAUAUAUAAUGACUCAUGAGAUGGGGGAAAUCCCCAUAAGGGUGUUACAUAUGCAUUCAGAAAGCUCCUGAGAAUAAGGAGGAUUUAUUGGUCAUGGGGGGGCGGGGACUAAUACAACCACUAUAGUCUGCAGCAUCACCUGGGAUCAGUAAUGUGGGACAGAAAAUCUUCCAGUGCUUCAUUUUUUCUGUGGAAAAUGUUCUGCUUCAUAGAUUAAUUAGUAACUGUGAAUGUCAAUUACAAGUAAGUGUUAGACAAGCUGGCAAUUUCAUUCCCCCCCCCCCUUUACAAGCUAAAUUAGAUCACUAUAAGGCAUUUCUGAUUUCUCUAAGUGAGCCAGUUCAAAUUUUCUGGAAAACGCACAUCACUGCCCGUGAUCAUUCUUUAGACGCUGCCAUCUCCUUCAAAAGAUUCAAGGUUUACAAAAGAAAAGAAACUUUAUUGUGGGUUUUGUAAUAUAAAAUUUAGGCAAAUGGCUGCAUAGUAAGCUACCCCAUUGGAUUCCAGUCUGCAGCAUAUUGUGAAAGGAUUCAUAUAUCCUAGUAGAAGCUUUAAGUUUUGCAUCAAUAUGACAAAAAAUUCUAAUCUCAGUGAUGAGAAGAUGUAUAAUCUCUUGGACCUUUUCCAAUUUUAUUUGAACAUAUAUUAAAAGGUUCUGUCACAUUUUGAAAGAUGCACCCAGCCCCAGCCCCGAUCACUGGCAUUGACUACCUCCGCCCCAGAGCGCUUCUCACACACCCUUUGUUGCCCAACCAUCACAACAGCUCUGCUGCCAAUGGGUCUAACUCUCCAGGAAUUGCUGCCACCACCCUCCCACUUACUCCUGCAGUCCUAGGAGAGAGAACCUGGAGUGCACUAAAGCAAUUAUUUUUUAAAGGGUUCUGGACUAAUGCCCCUGCACUCCUCAGCUCAAUCUGUACCUUUGCUUACCUGCCAUGGAACAGCUGUAAUGUUUGAUGUUUUACUGUUAGAUAUUUUAAUUUGUUAGAAGCUGCCCAGAGUGGCAGGGGCAACCUUGUCAGAUGAGUGGCAUAUAAAUUGUUGUUGUUGUUGUUGUUGUUAUACCUGUGUAGGGAAAUCAUAUAUGGAAUGACCUUAAUCAUUGUAAUAAUUUCUCCUUAACAUCUGAAUCAGGAGAGUUCAUGGACCAGUGCUUGGAGUGGUGAGAUGGAUGAGGAAAAACAAAUAGAGCUGAAUCCUAGCAAAACAUAGGCACUACGGGUAGAGUGAUUCUCAUACCUGAGAAACAGCAGCCCCUCCAGCUCCCUGAAAAUAAGGAGAGAAUGGGAUCCCUGAAAUUGAGUGGAGGCAACUUCUACUAUGCCAGCUUCUAAUAAUCAGUGAAAUUUUUCAGGGACCAGUGUGGGGGAGACAUGGUGUGAAAGUGCUAAGGAAGGAGAGGUAGGUUCGGUUCUCAGUAGCAGGAAAGACAGCAUUCCAUUGACUUCAAGACUGAUUUUUUAAAAGGUUUUCAGUUAUCACUUUGGAAGCAUUUCACAACAAAAAAAAUUAUAAAGCCUUCCAGCUAGCCCUUUUUAAGAAAUGACUUGAAGGAGACACAAAUAUCUUACUCAUUAUACACUUUCCAGGCAUUGCAGCCAUACUGAGACAUCAACUCCAAAUUCUCAAUUCGGACUGCCUGGUGCUCCAGCUGAGCCAUUGAGUUAUUAACACAUUCUUGCCAUGCUGUGAUGUCAUUCUUCUGCCCAGAGGAUGGUGCAGGAAGCUCAUAUCUGUGAAGAAAACAAGAGAAAUUAUAGUUCAGGAACAACAGUUUAGAUGGUUUGAAGUUUAAGAAAGUCAUUGCACUGAUCAUGUCCAUGACUAAUUUUUAUCAGUGAAAUAGAUGUGUAUCAAAAGCGUUCAAUAGCUCAAUAAACGCUAAAGGCUAUUUAAAAUA
Molecule: non-coding RNA, 1947 nt
Organism: Podarcis muralis (Common wall lizard)
Lineage: Eukaryota; Metazoa; Chordata; Lepidosauria; Squamata; Lacertidae
Source: RefSeq, a predicted model, not a curated record